GAAGGGGGUUGGGACGACCCGAAAAUGGAAAUUCGUUUUAAAGCACACGAUGAAGUAAACACCACUAACUCCAAACGACGGGGCUUAUAGGCUGCAUUUAAAAAAAAAAAAAGAAAAGAAAAGGAAGAAAAGCAGCGAGACGAACCGGAGGAGGAGUGGGAAGAGAGGAAGAUAUAAAGAAAGGGAGGGGGGUGUGCACUGUGACACUGUGCAGUUGACUACAUAGAGAGAGAGAGAGAGAGAGAGAGAGAGAGAGAGAGAGAGAGAGAGAGUAGCCCGCCGGCCCAUUGAGGAAAGAUGGCUACAGUCACUGCAAACGGAGUGCAGCAGGAGAAUGGAUUCAGCACCACGAACAGCGCCGGCAGGAUGAACGGGCUUACCAUCGGCCAGAACACCAUUCCAAUGAAGGACCACGACGCCAUCAAGCUUUUCAUCGGGCAGAUUCCCAGAAACCUGGAGGAAAAAGACCUGAAACCCCUGUUUGAGGAAUUCGGAAAGAUAUAUGAACUCACUGUACUGAAAGACAGGUUUACGGGAAUGCAUAAAGGAUGUGCCUUUCUAACAUACUGUGCCAGAGAGUCAGCACUGAAGGCCCAAAGCGCCCUCCAUGAACAGAAGACGCUGCCAGGGAUGAACCGACCCAUUCAGGUGAAGCCAGCCGACAGCGAAGGACGGGGAGAAGACAGGAAGCUGUUUGUAGGAAUGCUCGGCAAACAACAGAGCGAGGACGAUGUUCGGCGGCUGUUCGAGACUUUCGGCCAGAUUGAGGAGUGCACCGUCCUUCGAGGGCCUGAUGGGGCCAGUAAGGGCUGUGCCUUUGUCAAGUACUCGAGCCACGCAGAAGCGCAAGCCGCCAUCAAUAGUUUGCAUGGUGGACAAACUAUGCCUGGUGCCUCGUCCAGCCUGGUGGUCAAAUUUGCAGACACUGAUAAGGAGAGGACCCUGCGUAGAAUGCACCAGAUGGCAGGCCAACUCGGUAUCUUCAGUCCCAUGACCAUCCAAUUUGGGGCCUAUGGCGCCUACUCUCAUGCUGUAAGUCUCAGCCCAGCGGGAGAGGAGACGCAGAUGAUGCAACAGCAAGCAGCCCUGAUGGCAGCAACACAAGGGUCCUACCUGAACCCCAUGGCAGCCAUUGCUGCCGCGCAAAUGCAGCAAAUGGCAGCUUUCAAUGUCAAUGGCCUGGUGGCUACUCCUAUGACACCGUCCUCAGGCACCAGCACACCCCCAGGCAUUUCUGCUACAGCCGUGCCAAGCAUAGCCACACCUAUUGGGGUCAACGGAUUCAGUGCCCUUCCGCCUCAAAGCAAUGGCCAGCCUACAUCGGAGCCCAUCUACACCAACGGCAUUCAUCCUUACCCAGCACAGAGUCCAACGGUGACCGACCCUCUCCAACAGGCUUAUGCUGGCGUCCAGCACUACGCAGCAGCCUACCCUGCCGCCUAUGCGCCAAUCAGCCAAGCGUUCCCCCAGCAACCGACCAUCAUUCCCCAGCAACAGAGGGAAGGGCCGGAAGGUUGCAACCUGUUUAUUUAUCACCUGCCCCAGGAGUUUGGAGAUGCUGAGCUCAUGCAAAUGUUCCUUCCUUUCGGCAACGUCAUCUCUGCCAAAGUCUUUGUGGACCGAGCCACCAAUCAGAGCAAAUGCUUUGGCUUUGUGAGUUUCGAUAACCCAUCCAGUGCUCAGGCCGCUAUCCAGGCUAUGAAUGGCUUCCAGAUAGGCAUGAAGAGGCUGAAGGUGCAGCUAAAGCGGCCAAAGGACGCCAACCGACCUUACUGACUCGUCUGCUGUCCAUAAACAGUGUGAGGUGGCCUUUCUCCGCUAUAGCCACACACCCCACCGACACCUGUCAUGGGGCCAAGUUCCCACAGCUGAUGAAGGGCCACAACACCUUAUUUCCACAAGUGCAGUAAAAGUACAAAGACUCCUCGUUCUGCUACAUAUCAUGAAGAAAGGGUGGUCCCUUGAUCCUCCUGGAAAGCCGUUGAAAGAUUGGGUGACUGAAAGAAGGAUCCCAGAGUUGUUGUUUUUUAUUAUCAUUUUAGUUUUUUCUUUCUUCGCAAAUGCCUCUCUUUUCCCUUUUUUGCUUUGGCAUCUGUGGAAGAAGAUUUUUUGCAGAGACCAACUUUUUGCUGCUGUUUUUUAGACAUGAUGAAAAGAAAAAAAACUUUAUAGACUCAUUAUGCUCAAAGCAUGCAUACUGACACAGGAUACAGAUAAACUCACUUAAAAAAUAUUUUAAAAAAUAAACCAAACAUACAAGAAAUUAAACAAGCUGCACUUAAUGAAUGAAAAACUUAAAAAAAAAAAAAAAA
RNA transcript from Xiphophorus maculatus (southern platyfish), 2312 nucleotides. It is a transcript of the gene named CUGBP Elav-like family member 4, with no coding region annotated. Lineage: Eukaryota; Metazoa; Chordata; Actinopteri; Cyprinodontiformes; Poeciliidae. The transcript is spliced from 14 exons. The record is from RefSeq and is a predicted model, not a curated record.